This 1252-nucleotide ribosomal RNA is filed under the name Microphallus fusiformis. RNAcentral's name for it is "eukaryotic LSU rRNA". It matches the Rfam family "Eukaryotic large subunit ribosomal RNA", at positions 87 to 925 of the family's 3401-position model. Lineage: Eukaryota; Metazoa; Platyhelminthes; Trematoda; Plagiorchiida; Microphallidae. The record is from RNAcentral.
CGGCGAGUGAACAGGGAAAAGCCCAGCACCGAAGCCUGUGAUCAGUUGAUCAUUAGGCAAUGUGGUGUUCAGGUUGUUCCUUAAAGGUACUGCUCCACCCUAAGUCCAUCAAUGAGUUCGGUUGUAUGGACCUGGCCCACAGAGGGUGAUAGGCCCGUGGGGGUGGAGACCAGGCAUGUCAGUAUCUUUUUGGAUAGACCUUGGAGUCGGGUUGUUUGUGAAUGCAGCCCAAAGUGGGUGGUAAACUCCAUCCAAGGCUAAAUACAAGCACGAGUCCGAUAGUAAACAAGUACCGUGAGGGAAAGUUGAAAAGUACUUUGAAGAGAGAGUAAACAGUGCGUGAAACCGAUCAGAGGUAAACGGGUGGAGUUGAACUGCAAGCUCUGUGAAUUCAGCUGGUGAGUGUGGUUGAGCUUGGUUAAUUCGGUUGGACUACGGAAUCUGUGUAUUAACAGGUCCCUACUCUUUGAGUUGGGGUGCGCGAUACACUUGUCAAGUGUUGCGCGUUUCGUUGUUCCCCGAACCGGCUUGCCAGUGCAUUUUCUCAGAGUAGUCACCACGACCGGCACUGCUGUCUGUCUGUUACGGUUAAACCGGUCUUGCAUUGUCCUUGUGGCUCUGCUUGAUCGGGAUGGCAGGUAGCUCGUUGGCUAGUAUGCAGUCUACUGCAUGCUUUGGUCUUCGAGUGUAAUCAGCUGACUGUGAUAGUCUUGUACAGUGUGUCGGAGACGGCGGCUUCGUGCGUGCGCGCGUGCUCGGUCAGCUGACUUGUUCGGGUUCUGGUUGUUAUGUAGCCUGUGAAGGCAGGCCUAAUAAUGAUCCGAGCUUGUUCAGCUGGCAGUUGCGUGUGUGGUACGGUAACAUGGGCCAAUAGUCUGUGGUGUAGUGGUAGACUAUCCACCCGACCCGUCUUGAAACACGGACCAAGGAGAGUAACAUGUGCGCGAGUCAUUGGGCGAUACGAAACCCAAAGGCGUAGUGAAAGUAAAGGUUUGGCUUGUCCAAGCUGAGGUGAGAUCCUGUCGUUUCUCAUGCGUGGUACUACCAAGCUUUGAGCGGCAGGCGCAUCACCGGCCCGUCCCAUGACAAUUGUUUUCGAUCAUUACCCAGUCGGGGCGGAGCAUGAGCGUACAUGUUGAGACCCGAAAGAUGGUGAACUAUGCUUGCGCAGGUUGAAGCCAGAGGAAACUCUGGUGGAGGACCGAAGCGGUUCUGACGUGCAAAUCGAUCGCCAGACGUGAGUAUAGGGGCG